Molecule: non-coding RNA, 774 nt
Organism: Pantherophis guttatus
Lineage: Eukaryota; Metazoa; Chordata; Lepidosauria; Squamata; Colubridae
Source: RefSeq, a predicted model, not a curated record
AAAGCUCCUCCACCCCCCGGCCGGCGCGCGUAUUCUCCUUCCCACCUCAGACGCGCGUGAGGGACUUUCGUGUAUUUUUUUUUCUUUUUCAAAUCUAUCCCAGUUCCCGUGUACAAGUAGUCCUCCACUUACCCCCACAACUGAGCCCAGAAUUUAUGUUGCCAAGUCAGAAAUUGGUUAGGCUUCUUCGGAUAUGAAGUUGUUUUCAUUCCCCCCACAUCCACUAUGAACAAACAGCUUACAUGUCCCAGUGAUUGUGUCGAAAAAAAAGCGAAUAGUAGGAGUAUCGCAUGGUCCUACUAUUGGGCGAAAUGUACAUUUCUCGGGAAAUAGUACUGAAAUUGAAAAGAGGAAAAUAAGACACACUGUCCCUUUUAUGGAAAGCCAGAAGAUCAUUGCAUAUAAAUAUAUUGUGUUCUAACUCCAGAGUGCAGGGCAACAUGAAUAUUUGACCAUCCAUUGGAAAACUGGACCCUGAAAAAUCUGCUCCAAACAUCAGAAAAAGUGAAAACAGUUUGUCUACUAUAACAUUUUGAGAACACCUAAAUUUUGUGUCAUCGCCAAUUGACAAUAGAAUUGUCAUGCAAAGAAUUGAAGUACAGCCUGGCAGAUACAGGCUGCUGUAACCCUAAGAAGAGACAGCAGGCCCAUAUUCUUGAGAUUAGCCUGCAGAGACGGACUGAGAAUAUCAUCAGGGAGAAGGUUCCUCCCAUUUGCUUGAAGGACCUCAAACCAUGUGAUCCUGUCCACCAUUAAACCAUCUUUCCAAACAGU